GCGAGGGGCAAGGUGUGCUCGCCUGAAGUCAAUGGUUGGAUACCCGAAGCCGGUCGAUCUAUGCCUGGGCAGGGUGAAGCCUUUCGGAAGAAGGGUGGAGGCCCGAACCAGUACUGAUGUGCAAAUCGUUUGGAUGACCUGGGUAUAGGGGCGAAAGACCAAUCUAGACCGGUAAUAGCUGGUUCCUCUCGAAACUGCUCGCAGGCAGACCUCAGCUGAGACGGGGCAUGCGGUAGAGCACUGAUUGCGUGUUUAGGAAGCGAAAGUUUUCGGCAUGCUGUCAAACUCCGAAUGUGUGUCCGUUGUAGAAGCUGGGCAGUGAGGGCAUCGGGGUAAGCUUGAUGUCCAUAAGGAAAACAAACCAGACCAAAGUUAAGGUCCCUAAGUAACAGCUAAGUGUUAAAGAACAAAUAGUGUUUAACAGCAUAGACAGCUGGAAGGUUGGCUUAGAGGCAGCCAUCCUUUAAAGAGUUCGUAACAGAUCACCAGUCAAGUUCUUGAGCCUAGAAAAUGGACGGGACUAAGUUGUUCACCGAUACUUUGGGCCACCGAAAGGUGAUGCGGUAGAGAGGCGUCGUGCGCGGGUGGAAGUGGGGCCGUGAGGUCCUGUGGACCGCGUUCGAAUGAUAAUCAUGGAAAGAGUAGUAGCGUAGAUGGGUGAGAAUCCCAUCCGCCGGAGGGGCUAGGGUUCCUCGACGAUGUUCAUCAGUCGAGGGUUAGUCGGUCCUAAGGUUCCCCCUAACAGGAGGAAUCGAAAGGGAAGCAGGUUAAAAUUCCUGCACCAAUUCAUAUUUUGUCCAGUUCCUGACACAUCGGGUCUUGUGGAGCACUCUUGUCGGAGUGUUGCCUUGAGCGAUAAAUUUGUGGAGUACCGUAAUGGUGAGAAGCAAACUAAGCUUUUGGGAGGCGGAGUAUUUCGCUUCUGCGUUAGCCUGGUGUCCGUGAAAAGGGAGCUGGAGCCGUAUGAGUUGUCCGUACCGAGAUCUGACACAGGUGCCCCUAGGUGAGUAGCCUAAGGCGUCGCGGCAGAAUCCGGGCGAGGGAAUUCGGCAAAUUAGCCCCGUACCUUUGGUAUAAGGGGUGCCAGCUCUGAAGAGAGCUGGUCGCAGUGACUAGGGAGCUCCGACUGUUUAUUAAAAACACAGGUGGCUGCUAGUCCGUAAGGAUGUGUAUAGCCGCUGAAUCCUGCCCAGUGGCAGUAUCUGAAACCAGGUUUCAACCUGACGAAGGACUGCUAAACGGCGGGGGUAACUAUGACCCUCUUAAGGUAGCGUAAUACCUUGUCGCUUAAUUGGCGACUUGCACGAACGGCCUAACGAGAGCUCUACUGUCCCCGCCCGGAGCCCGAUGAAAUUGACUUACUGGCGCACAGUCCAGUACGUCCCAGCCGCAAGCGAAGACCCCGUGGAGCUUUACUGCAACCUGCCGUUGUGGCACGAGUUGUUAUGUGUAGCGUAGACGGGAGACAUUACACAGGUGCGAGCGCUAGCUCGUCGCCGAGUCACCGAUGAAACACCGUCCUUUUCGAUUCGUCCCACUCACCUCUUCGGAGGAACCCCGGUAGGCGGGCAGUUUGGGUGGGGCGCCACUCCCUCGAAAAAAUAACAAGGGAGCCCAAAGGUCAGCUUAGGUAGGUCAGGAAUCUACCGUUAAGUGCAAGGGCAAAAGCUGGCUUGACGUGGUUUGGCAACACAACAAACCACGAUGUGAAAGCAGGGCCUAGCGAACCAACCAGCGCCGUUAGUAGGUGCGGUUGAUAACAGAAAAGUUACCCCGGGGAUAACUGAGUUGUCUGGAGCAAGAGCCCACAUCGACCUCCAGGCUUGCUACUUCGAUGUCGUCUCUUCCUAUCCUGGGUGUGCAGAAGCACCCAAGGGUGGGGUUGUUCGCCCAUUAAAAGGGAUCGUGAGAUGGGUUUAGACCGUCGUGAGACAGGUUUGUUGCUAUGUGCUGGGACUGUCCAAUGCCUGAGGGGAAGGAUCCUCUAGUACGAGAGGAACGAGGGUUCGCAGCCACUAGUUUACCAGUUGUCUGACAAGGCACCGCUGGGCAGCCACGCUGUAAGGGAUAAGAGCUGAAAGCAUCUAAGCUCGAAACCCGCCUCAAAACGAGGCAUUAUGACACUUAU
RNAcentral lists this ribosomal RNA (2128 nucleotides) under marine metagenome. RNAcentral's name for it is "bacterial LSU rRNA". It matches the Rfam family "Archaeal large subunit ribosomal RNA", at positions 746 to 2891 of the family's 2987-position model. The record is from RNAcentral.